UGAGCCGGCCGGGCGAUCGCGGCUGACAAACUGCGCCGACAGCUGGUGGGCGCAAGUGAAAGUCGAGGAAAGUCCGGACUCCACAGAGCACGGUGGUUGCUAACAGCAACCCAGGGCAACCUGCGGGCAAGUGCAACAGAAAGUAGACCGCCACCGGGCAUGCUGCGAGCAAUUGCAGUCCGCCCGGCGGUGAGGGUGAAAGGGUGCGGUAAGAGCGCACCAGCAUGUCAGGUGACUGGCGUGGCUAGGUAAACCCCAUCGGGAGCAAGGCAUCACGGCGCGCCCCGCUGCGCGCCUGUUCGAAUGUUUGAGGGCUGCUCGCCCAAGUUCGAAGGUAGCUGCUUGAGGCCACCAGCAAUGGCUGGCCCAGAUGGAUGAUCGCCCACGCACCGCACUGGUGCGGGACAGAAUCCGGCUUAUAGGCUGGCUCAUUCA
RNAcentral lists this RNase P RNA (435 nucleotides) under Corynebacterium propinquum. RNAcentral's name for it is "RNase P RNA component class A". It matches the Rfam family "Bacterial RNase P class A". From Rfam's summary of the family: Ribonuclease P (RNase P) is a ubiquitous endoribonuclease, found in archaea, bacteria and eukarya as well as chloroplasts and mitochondria. Its best characterised activity is the generation of mature 5'-ends of tRNAs by cleaving the 5'-leader elements of precursor-tRNAs. Lineage: Bacteria; Bacillati; Actinomycetota; Actinomycetes; Mycobacteriales; Corynebacteriaceae. The record is from RNAcentral.